UGAUUAAUACAUUAUCUGGUUGAAGUGUC
Molecule: non-coding RNA, 29 nt
Filed under: Rattus norvegicus (Norway rat)
Lineage: Eukaryota; Metazoa; Chordata; Mammalia; Rodentia; Muridae
Source: RNAcentral